AUUGAACGCUGGCGGCAGGCCUAACACAUGCAAGUCGAGCGGAUGAAGGGAGCUUGCUCCUGGAUUCAGCGGCGGACGGGUGAGUAAUGCCUAGGAAUCUGCCUGGUAGUGGGGGAUAACGUCCGGAAACGGGCGCUAAUACCGCAUACGUCCUGAGGGAGAAGGUGGGGGAUCUUCGGACCUCACGCUAUCAGAUGAGCCUAGGUCGGAUUAGCUAGUUGGUGGGGUAAAGGCCUACCAAGGCGACGAUCCGUAACUGGUCUGAGAGGAUGAUCAGUCACACUGGAACUGAGACACGGUCCAGACUCCUACGGGAGGCAGCAGUGGGGAAUAUUGGACAAUGGGCGAAAGCCUGAUCCAGCCAUGCCGCGUGUGUGAAGAAGGUCUUCGGAUUGUAAGCACUUUAAGUUGGGAGGAAGGGCAGUAAGUUAAUACCUUGCUGUUUUGACGUUACCAACAGAAUAAGCACCGGCUAACUUCGUG
Molecule: ribosomal RNA, 483 nt
Filed under: uncultured bacterium
Lineage: Bacteria
Description: partial 16S ribosomal RNA
Rfam family: Bacterial small subunit ribosomal RNA
Source: RNAcentral